RNAcentral lists this ribosomal RNA (253 nucleotides) under uncultured bacterium. RNAcentral's name for it is "partial 16S ribosomal RNA". It matches the Rfam family "Bacterial small subunit ribosomal RNA", at positions 524 to 776 of the family's 1533-position model. The record is from RNAcentral.
GACGAAGGAUGCAAGCGUUAUCCGGAUUCAUUGGGUUUAAAGGGUGCGUAGGCGGGUUAUUAAGUCAGUGGUGAAAGCUCCCAGCUCAACUGGGAAACUGCCAUUGAUACUGAUAGUCUUGAGUAUGAUUGAAGUGGGCGGAAUGUGUCAUGUAGCGGUGAAAUGCUUAGAUAUGACACAGAACACCGAUUGCGAAGGCAGCUCACUAAGCCAUAACUGACGCUGAUGCACGAAAGCGUGGGGAGCAAACAGG